GACGAACGCUGGCGGCGUGCUUAACACAUGCAAGUCGUGCGGUAAGGCCCCUUCGGGGGUACACGAGCGGCGAACGGGUGAGUAACACGUGAGCAACCUGCCCUUCACUUUGGGAUAACUGCCGGAAACGGUGGCUAAUACCGGAUAUGACUUCCUCACGCAUGUGGGGUGGUGGAAAGCCUUCGGGUGGUGGGGGAUGGGCUCGCGGUCUAUCAGCUUGUUGGUGGGGUGAUGGCCUACCAAGGCUUCGACGGGUAGCCGGCCUGAGAGGGUGACCGGCCACACUGGGACUGAGAGACGGCCCAGACUGCUACGGGAGGCAGCAGUGGGGAAUAUGGGACAAUGGGGGAAAGCCUGAUCCAGCAACGCCGCGUGAGGGAUGACGGCCUUCGGGUUGUAAACCUCUUUCUCCUGCGACGAAGCGAGAGUGACGGUAGCAGGUAAAGAAGCACCGGCCAACUACGUG
RNAcentral lists this ribosomal RNA (466 nucleotides) under uncultured bacterium. RNAcentral describes it as "partial 16S ribosomal RNA". It matches the Rfam family "Bacterial small subunit ribosomal RNA", at positions 28 to 507 of the family's 1533-position model. The record is from RNAcentral.